AUUGCCCCAGUAACGGCGAGUGAAGCGGCAACAGCUCAAAUUUGAAAUCUGGCUCUCGGGCCCGAGUUGUAAUUUGUAGAGGAUGCUUUUGGUGAGGUGCCUUCCGAGUUCCCUGGAACGGGACGCCAUAGAGGGUGAGAGCCCCGUCUGGUUGGACACCGAUCCUCUGUAAAGCUCCUUCGACGAGUCGAGUAGUUUGGGAAUGCUGCUCUAAAUGGGAGGUAUAUGUCUUCUAAAGCUAAAUACCGGCCAGAGACCGAUAGCGCACAAGUAGAGUGAUCGAAAGAUGAAAAGAACUUUGAAAAGAGAGUUAAACAGUACGUGAAAUUGUUGAAAGGGAAGCGCUUGUGACCAGACUUGGGCUUGGUUGAUCAUCCGGGGUUCUCCCCGGUGCACUCUUCCGGCUCAGGCCAGCAUCAGUUCGCCCUGGGGGAUAAAGGCUUCGGGAAUGUGGCUCUCUCCGGGGAGUGUUAUAGCCCGCUGCGUAAUACCCUGUGGCGGACUGAGGUUCGCGCAUUCGCAAGGAUGCUGGCGUAAUGGUCAUCAGUGACCCGUCUUGAAACACGGACCAAGGAGUCGUCUUCGUAUGCGAGUGUUCGGGUGUCAAACCCCUACGCGAAAUGAAAGUGAACGCAGGUGAGAGCUUCGGCGCAUCAUCGACCGAUCCUGAUGUUAUCGGAUGGAUUUGAGUAAGAGCAUACGGGGCCGGACCCGAAAGAAGGUGAACUAUGCCUGUGUAGGGUGAAGCCAGAGGAAACUCUGGUGGAGGCUCGCAGCGGUUCUGACGUGCAAAUCGAUCGUCAAACAUGGGCAUGGGGGCGAAAGACUAAU
Molecule: ribosomal RNA, 831 nt
Filed under: [Neocosmospora] rubicola
Lineage: Eukaryota; Fungi; Ascomycota; Sordariomycetes; Hypocreales; Nectriaceae
Description: eukaryotic LSU rRNA
Rfam family: Eukaryotic large subunit ribosomal RNA
Source: RNAcentral